CGAGAUGAGUAUUCCCACCUCCUUGAGGGGUUAAGGCUCCCAGUAGACGACUGGGUUGAUAGGCCAGAUGUGGAAGCCCUGUGAGGGGUGGAGCUGACUGGUACUAAUAGGCCGAGGGCUUGUCCUCAGUUG
This 132-nucleotide ribosomal RNA is filed under the name Streptomyces sp. SID8350. RNAcentral describes it as "partial 23S ribosomal RNA". It matches the Rfam family "Bacterial large subunit ribosomal RNA", at positions 2800 to 2925 of the family's 2925-position model. Lineage: Bacteria; Bacillati; Actinomycetota; Actinomycetes; Kitasatosporales; Streptomycetaceae. The record is from RNAcentral.